Molecule: non-coding RNA, 80 nt
Organism: Venturia effusa
Lineage: Eukaryota; Fungi; Ascomycota; Dothideomycetes; Venturiales; Venturiaceae
Source: the annotation of a GenBank genome assembly
GCGUGGGUGGUUUAGUGGUAAAAUCCGUGCUUGCCAUGAGCGAGUUGCACGGGCCCCGAGUUCGAUUCUCGGUCCACGCA